Molecule: ribosomal RNA, 478 nt
Filed under: uncultured bacterium
Lineage: Bacteria
Description: bacterial SSU rRNA
Rfam family: Bacterial small subunit ribosomal RNA
Source: RNAcentral
CUACGUGCCAGCAGCCGCGGUAAUACGGAAGGUCCGGGCGUUAUCCGGAUUUAUUGGGUUUAAAGGGAGCGUAGGCCGGAGAUUAAGUGUGUUGUGAAAUGUAGACGCUCAACGUCUGACUUGCAGCGCAUACUGGUUUCCUUGAGUACGCACAACGUUGGCGGAAUUCGUCGUGUAGCGGUGAAAUGCUUAGAUAUGACGAAGAACCCCGAUUGCGAAGGCAGCUGACGGGAGCGCAACUGACGCUUAAGCUCGAAGGUGCGGGUAUCGAACAGGAUUAGAUACCCUGGUAGUCCGCACAGUAAACGAUGGAUGCUCGCUGUUGGUACCUGGUAUCAGCGGCUAAGCGAAAGCAUUAAGCAUCCCACCUGGGGAGUACGCCGGCAACGGUGAAACUCAAAGGAAUUGACGGGGGCCCGCACAAGCGGUGGAGCAUGUGGUUUAAUUCGAAGCAACGCGAAGAACCUUACCAGGUCUU